GCUCCCAUAGCAAAGUGGUUUAAUGCGUCGUGCUUAUACUACAAAGUAUAUUAGAGACACGCGAAGGUCGGCGGUUCGAUCCCGCCUGGGAGCA
Molecule: non-coding RNA, 94 nt
Organism: Bifiguratus adelaidae
Lineage: Eukaryota; Fungi; Mucoromycota; Endogonomycetes; Endogonales
Source: the annotation of a GenBank genome assembly